RNAcentral lists this ribosomal RNA (501 nucleotides) under uncultured bacterium. RNAcentral describes it as "partial 16S ribosomal RNA". It matches the Rfam family "Bacterial small subunit ribosomal RNA", at positions 30 to 523 of the family's 1533-position model. The record is from RNAcentral.
AUUGAACGCUGGCGGCAGGCUUAACACAUGCAAGUCGAGCGGGGGAAGGUAGCUUGCUACCGGACCUAGCGGCGGACGGGUGAGUAAUGCUUAGGAAUCUGCCUAUUAGUGGGGGACAACAUCCCGAAAGGGAUGCUAAUACCGCAUACGUCCUACGGGAGAAAGCAGGGGAUCUUCGGACCUUGCGCUAAUAGAUGAGCCUAAGUCGGAUUAGCUAGGUGGUGGGGUAAAGGCCUACCAAGGCGACGAUCUGUAGCGGGUCUGAGAGGAUGAUCCGCAACACUGGGACUGAGACACGGCCCAGACUCCUACGGGAGGCAGCAGUGGGGAAUAUUGGACAAUGGGGGGAACCCUGAUCCAGCCAUGCGGCGUGUGUGAAGAAGGCCUUAUGGUUGUAAAGCACUUUAAGCGAGGAGGAGGCUACUCUAGUUAAUACCUAGGGAUAGUGGACGUUACUCGCAGAAUAAGCACCGGCUAACUCUGUGCCAGCCGCCGCCGUAA